ACAGGUGGUGCAUGGUUGUCGUCAGCUCGUGUCGUGAGAUGUUGGGUUAAGUCCCGCAACGAGCGCAACCCUUAAGCUUAGUUGCCAUCAUUAAGUUGGGCACUCUAAGUUGACUGCCGGUGACAAACCGGAGGAAGGUGGGGAUGACGUCAAAUCAUCAUGCCCCUUAUGAUUUGGGCUACACACGUGCUACAAUGGACAAUACAAAGGGCAGCGAAACCGCGAGGUCAAGCAAAUCCCAUAAAGUUGUUCUCAGUUCGGAUUGUAGUCUGCAACUCGACUAUAUGAAGCUGGAAUCGCUAGUAAUCGUAGAUCAGCAUGCUACGGUGAAUACGUUCCCGGGUCUUGUACACACCGCCCGUCACACCACGAGAGUUUGUAACACCCGAAGCCGGUGGAGUAACCAUUUGGAGCUAGCCGUCGAAGGUGGGACAAAUGAUUGGGGUGAAGUCGUAACAAGGUAGCCGUAUCGGAAGGUGCGGCUGGAUCACCUCCUUU
RNAcentral lists this ribosomal RNA (498 nucleotides) under Staphylococcus epidermidis. Its description in RNAcentral is "bacterial SSU rRNA". It matches the Rfam family "Bacterial small subunit ribosomal RNA", at positions 1034 to 1533 of the family's 1533-position model. The record is from RNAcentral. Lineage: Bacteria; Bacillati; Bacillota; Bacilli; Caryophanales; Staphylococcaceae. RNAcentral also lists the same sequence under 1 other name.